AAAAAUAAUCUUAAUCAAUUAACUUAAAAAUAGUCUGGUCAGGAUGUUGAUAGAAAAGAUAUUUUAGGCGCAUUUGUCUAUUAUUAAAACGUGAUAUAACAUGUUUUAUGUAGUCUACAAAUCGAUAAUUAUCGAACAUUAACUUCAAUCAUCUUUAGCUAACGACGCA
This is a long non-coding RNA of Cotesia glomerata, 169 nucleotides long. RefSeq lists it as uncharacterized. The record is from RefSeq and is a predicted model, not a curated record. The transcript has 2 exons. Lineage: Eukaryota; Metazoa; Arthropoda; Insecta; Hymenoptera; Braconidae.